Molecule: ribosomal RNA, 387 nt
Filed under: uncultured bacterium
Lineage: Bacteria
Description: bacterial SSU rRNA
Rfam family: Bacterial small subunit ribosomal RNA
Source: RNAcentral
ACGAACGCUGGCGGCGUGCUUAACACAUGCAAGUCGAGCGGUAAGGCCCUUUCGGGGGUACACGAGCGGCGAACGGGUGAGUAACACGUGGGUGACCUGCCCUCAGCUCUGGGAUAAGCCUGGGAAACCGGGUCUAAUACUGGAUAUGACUCCAUGACGCAUGUUGUGGGGUGGAAAGCCUUGUGCGGCUGAGGAUGGGCCCGCGGCCUAUCAGCUUGUUGGUGGGGUGAUGGCCUACCGAGGCGACGACGGGUAGCCGGCCUGAGAGGGCGACCGGCCACACUGGGACUGAGACACGGCCCAGACUCCUACGGGAGGCAGCAGUGGGGAAUCUUGCGCAAUGGGCGAAAGCCUGACGCAGCGACGCCGCGUGAGGGAUGACGGCCU